This 466-nucleotide ribosomal RNA is filed under the name uncultured bacterium. RNAcentral's name for it is "partial 16S ribosomal RNA". It matches the Rfam family "Bacterial small subunit ribosomal RNA", at positions 28 to 507 of the family's 1533-position model. The record is from RNAcentral.
GAUGAACGCUGGCGGCGUGCUUAACACAUGCAAGUCGAACGGAAAGGCUCCUGCUUGCAGGGGUACUCGAGUGGCGAACGGGUGAGUAACACGUGGGUGAUCUGCCCAGCACUUCGGGAUAAGCCUGGGAAACUGGGUCUAAUACCGGAUAGGACGAUGGUUUGGAUGCCAUUGUGGAAAGUUUUUUCGGUGUGGGGUGAGCUCGCGGCCUAUCAGCUUGUUGGUGGGGUAAUGGCCUACCAAGGCGUCGACGGGUAGCCGGCCUGGGAGGGUGUACGGCGAGGUUGGGACUGAGAUACGGCCCAGACGGCUACGGGAGGCAGCGGUGGGGAAUAUUGCACAAUGGGCGCAAGCCUGAUGCAGCGACGCCGCGUGGGGGAUGACGGCCUUCGGGUUGUAAACUACUUGCGCUAGGGACGAAGCGCAAGUGACGGUACCUGGAGAAGAAGCACCGGCUAACUACGUG